RNAcentral lists this ribosomal RNA (547 nucleotides) under fungal sp. R55. RNAcentral describes it as "eukaryotic LSU rRNA". The stretch from base 163 to 316 matches the Rfam family "5.8S ribosomal RNA". Lineage: Eukaryota; Fungi. The record is from RNAcentral.
AGGGAUCAUUACCGAGUGAAAACUCCCAAACCCAUGUGAACAUACCACUGUUGCUUCGGCGGACCACCCUCGCCUCGCCGCGGGGGCCCGCCAGAGGACCCAAAAUUCAAAUGUAUCUUGUUUUCCGAACGCAUUCUGAGUGGGAUUUUUAAAUCAAAUCAAAACUUUCAACAACGGAUCUCUUGGCUCUGGCAUCGAUGAAGAACGCAGCGAAAUGCGACAAGUAAUGUGAAUUGCAGAAUUCAGUGAAUCAUCGAAUCUUUGAACGCACAUUGCGCCCGCCAGUAUUCUGGCGGGCAUGCCUGUUCGAGCGUCAUUAACACCACUCAAGCCCCCGGGCUUGGCGUUGGGGAUCGGCAUCCGGCCUGGCGGGACCCCUCGGGGCCCCUCCUCCGCCCGCCGUCCCCCAAAUACAUCGGCGGUCGCCCGUGGGCUCCCCUGCGUAGUAGCAACACCUCGCACCGGACGUCCCGCGCGGCCACGCCGUAAAACCCCCGACUUUUUUCAAGUUGACCUCGAAUCAGGUAGGACUACCCGCUGAACUUAA